AUAUAGAGGNUCUCUGGUGAAUCAUGAUAACUAGUCGAAUCGACAGGCCUUGUGCCGGCGAUGGCUCAUUCAAAUUUCUUCCCUAUCAACUUUCGAUGUUUGGGUCUUGUCCAAACAUGGUGGCAACGGGUAACGGAGGGUUAGGGCUCGACCCCGGAGAAGGAGCCUGAGAAACGGCUACUACAUCCAAGGAAGGCAGCAGGCGCGCAAAUUACCCAAUCCCGACACGGGGAGGUAGUGACAAUAAAUACUGAUACAGGGCUCUUUUGGGUCUUGUAAUCGGAAUGAGUACAAUUUAAAUCCCUUAACGAGGAACAAUUGGAGGGCAAGUCUGGUGCCAGCAGCCGCGGUAAUUCCAGCUCCAAUAGCGUAUAUUAAAGUUGUUGUGGUUAAAAAGCUCGUAGUUGAACCUUGGGCCUGGNUGGCCGGUCCGCCUCACCGCGUGCACUGGUCCGGCCGGGCCUUUUCCCUCUGCGGAACCCCAUGCCCUUCACUGGGUGUGGCGGGGAAACAGGACUUUUACUUUGAAAAAAUUAGAGUGCUCAAGGCAGGCCUAUGCUCGAAUACAUUAGCAUGGAAUAAUAGAAUAGGACGUGUGGUUCUAUUUUGUUGGUUUCUAGGACCGCCGUAAUGAUUAAUAGGGACAGUCGGGGGCAUCAGUAUUCAAUUGUCAGAGGUGAAAUUCUUGGAUUUAUUGAAGACUAACUACUGCGAAAGCAUUUGCCAAGGAUGUUUUCAUUAAUCAGGAACGAAAGUU
RNAcentral lists this ribosomal RNA (757 nucleotides) under cf. Trichoderma sp. 681/HC3. Its description in RNAcentral is "SSU rRNA". It matches the Rfam family "Eukaryotic small subunit ribosomal RNA", at positions 230 to 991 of the family's 1831-position model. The record is from RNAcentral. Lineage: Eukaryota; Fungi; Ascomycota; Sordariomycetes; Hypocreales; Hypocreaceae.